This 514-nucleotide ribosomal RNA is filed under the name uncultured Glomus. Its description in RNAcentral is "SSU rRNA". It matches the Rfam family "Eukaryotic small subunit ribosomal RNA", at positions 569 to 1086 of the family's 1831-position model. Lineage: Eukaryota; Fungi; Glomeromycota; Glomeromycetes; Glomerales; Glomeraceae. The record is from RNAcentral.
AGCAGCCGCGGUAAUUCCAGCUCCAAUAGCGUAUAUUAAAGUUGUUGCAGUUAAAAAGCUCGUAGUUGAAUUUCGGGAUCAGUUGAUCGGUCGUGCCUCGGUACGUACUGGUCAAAUUGAUUCCUACCUUCUGACGAACCACGAUGUCAUUAAUUUGGUGUCGUGGGAAAUCAGGACUGUUACUUUGAAAAAAUUAGAGUGUUUAAAGCAGGCUCGCGCUUGAAUACAUUAGCAUGGAAUAAUGAAAUAGGACGUUUGAUUCUAUUUUGUUGGUUUCUAGGAUCGACGUAAUGAUUAAUAGGGAUAGUUGGGGGCAUUAGUAUUCAAUUGUCAGAGGUGAAAUUCUUGGAUUUAUUGAAGACUAACUACUGCGAAAGCAUUUGCCAAGGAUGUUUUCAUUAAUCAAGAACGAAAGUUAGGGGAUCGAAGACGAUCAGAUACCGUCGUAGUCUUAACCAUAAACUAUGCCGACUAGGGAUCGGAUGAUGUUAAUUUUUAAUGACUCAUUCGGCGC